AUACAGAGGGUGCUAGCGUUGUUCGGAAUUACUGGGCGUAAAGAGCAUGUAGGCGGAUAGAUUAGUCAGAGGUGAAAGCCCCGAGCUCAACUCGGGAACUGCCUUUGAUACUGUUUAUCUAGAGACCGAGAGAGGUGAGUGGAAUUCUCAGUGUAGAGGUGAAAUUCGUAGAUAUUGGGAAGAACACCAGUGGCGAAGGCGGCUCACUGGCUCGGAACUGACGCUGAGAUGCGAAAGCGUGGGGAGCGAACAGGAUUAGAAACCCUAGUAGUCC
This 274-nucleotide ribosomal RNA is filed under the name uncultured bacterium. Its description in RNAcentral is "partial 16S ribosomal RNA". It matches the Rfam family "Bacterial small subunit ribosomal RNA", at positions 523 to 796 of the family's 1533-position model. The record is from RNAcentral.